GGAGUAGUGGGCUAGUGGUGAGAUUCUCGCUUUGGGUGCGAGAGGUCCGCGAUUCGAUCCCCGGCUGGGCCC
This is a non-coding RNA of Phytophthora infestans T30-4, 72 nucleotides long. The record is from the annotation of a RefSeq genome assembly. NCBI's taxonomy places the organism in Eukaryota, Oomycota, Peronosporomycetes, Peronosporales, Peronosporaceae.